Megalops cyprinoides (Indo-Pacific tarpon) is the source of this 629-nucleotide long non-coding RNA. RefSeq lists it as uncharacterized. The record is from RefSeq and is a predicted model, not a curated record. The transcript has 3 exons. Lineage: Eukaryota; Metazoa; Chordata; Actinopteri; Elopiformes; Megalopidae.
GGUUGGACGCUCAAUGCGCGGUUACCAGGCAACCAGCUACUCGGUUGGCGGUCAGGAAACGCAAUCAAUUCCCUAUCCCUAUAAAUAGGUUGUGGUAGCCAAAGAGAAAAGAGAACGUCUUACCUGUUUGGUUCCGGUUUUCCCCUGGGCACUCUGAAUACAUGUCCCGAGAAGCUGGACUGUUGCUGGCCCAAUGUAUGGUUUUGCCGAUGGGCUGAGAGCUGGUUCACACCAGGAGAAGUGGCCUGGCCUUCCUCUGUGCCCUGACUAAACCCGCCAGGGUUUGCAGGCAGCUGAUGAAGGGCAGAUGCAGAAACAGGAUCUGGGUCCCCUUCCCCAAUGAGCCACUCCCCAGAGCUGCCAAAGAGUGCUGCCACAAGCACUACAGUCACACAAAGCAGUACCCAGGGACAGUUUGGUUACUGCACCUGAUCCUGCCGGAGGAGAACCGCAGCUCUGAGACCAUGAGCAAAAGACAAGCUACUGAUGGGCCCCAAAGUGUCUGUCCAAGCUGUAGCCCAAGCAUCACACCCCGAUCUCCAGUCCUCCUAUUUCGCUGUCCUGUCUAUCAAGCCAACUGCGUGCCAAGAACCAGACAUUCUCUAGGAUACAUUUUAUAGUUACUCUGU